GAAAUGCGUAGAGAUCUGGAGGAAUACCGAUGGCGAAGGCAGCCAUCUGGCCUAAUACUGACGCUGAGGUACGAAAGCAUGGGGAGCAAACAGGAUUAGAUACCCUGGUAGUCCAUGCCGUAAACGAUGUCUACUAGCCGUUGGGGCCUUUGAGGCUUUAGUGGCGCAGCUAACGCGAUAAGUAGACCGCCUGGGGAGUACGGUCGCAAGACUAAAACUCAAAUGAAUUGACGGGGGCCCGCACAAGCGGUGGAGCAUGUGGUUUAAUUCGAUGCAACGCGAAGAACCUUACCUGGCCUUGACAUACUAAGAACUUUCCAGAGAUGGAUUGGUGCCUUCGGGAACUUAGAUACAGGUGCUGCAUGGCUGUCGUCAGCUCGUGUCGUGAGAUGUUGGGUUAAGUCCCGCAACGAGCGCAACCCUUUUCCUUAUUUGCCAUCGGGUAAUGCCGGGAACUUUAAGGAUACUGCCAGUGACAAACUGGAGGAAGGCGGGGACGACGUCAAGUCAUCAUGGCCCUUACGGCCAGGGCUACACACGUGCUACAAUGGUCGGUACAAAGGGUUGCUACCUCGCGAGAGGAUGCUAAUCUCAAAAAGCCGAUCGUAGUCCGGAUCGCAGUCUGCAACUCGACUGCGUGAAGUCGGAAUCGCUAGUAAUCGCGGAUCAGAAUGCCGCGGUGAAUACGUUCCCGGGCCUUGUACACACCGCCCGUCACACCAUGGGAGUUUGUUGCACCAGAAGUAGGUAGUCUAACCGCAAGGAGGACGCUUACCACGGUGUGGCCGAUGACUGGGGUGAAGUCGUAACAAGGUAGCCGUAGGGGAACCUGCGGCUGGUUCACCUCCUU
Molecule: ribosomal RNA, 850 nt
Filed under: uncultured soil bacterium
Lineage: Bacteria
Description: bacterial SSU rRNA
Rfam family: Bacterial small subunit ribosomal RNA
Source: RNAcentral